This 439-nucleotide ribosomal RNA is filed under the name uncultured bacterium. RNAcentral's name for it is "partial 16S ribosomal RNA". It matches the Rfam family "Bacterial small subunit ribosomal RNA", at positions 339 to 795 of the family's 1533-position model. The record is from RNAcentral.
CCUCGGGUGGCUGCAGUGGGGAAUAUUGCACAAUGGGGGAAACCCUGAUGCAGCGACGCCGCGUGAGCGAUGAAGUAUUUCGGUAUGUAAAGCUCUAUCAGCAGGGAAGAAAAUGACGGUACCUGACUCAGAAGCCCCGGCUAACUACGUGCCAGCAGCCGCGGUAAUACGUAGGGGGCCAGCGUUAUCCGGAUUUACUGGGUGUAGAGGGAGCGUAGACGGCGGUGCAAGCCAGAUGUGAAAGCCUGGGGCUCAACCCCGGGACUGCAUUUGGAACUGUGCUGCUAGAGUGUCGGAGAGGCAGGCGGAAUUCCUAGUGUAGCGGUGAAAUGCGUAGAUAUUAGGAGGAACACCAGUGGCGAAGGCAGCCUGCUGGACGAUGACUGACGUUGAGGCUCGAAAGCGUGGGGAGCAAACAGGAUUAGAUACCCGUGUAGUC